AAUGUUACCUGGCAGGGGGAAUACCACGAUCAAGAAGGUGUUUUCCCCAGGGUGAGGCACUUCCAUUGCACACUUCAGUUGGUAUGAUUCCUGUGAUUUCCCCAAAUGUGGGAAACUCAACUGCAUAAUUUUUUUUAAAUGGUUCUGCUGGACAGUGGUGCAGGGAACUAA
Protopterus annectens (West African lungfish) is the source of this 171-nucleotide small nuclear RNA. RefSeq annotates it as U1 spliceosomal RNA. NCBI's taxonomy places the organism in Eukaryota, Metazoa, Chordata, Ceratodontiformes, Protopteridae. The transcript has a single exon. The record is from RefSeq and is a predicted model, not a curated record.